AGAGUUUGAUCAUGGCUCAGAGUGAACGCUGGCGGCGUGCCUAACACAUGCAAGUCGAACGAGAUGUUUUGCUGUAGCAAUACAGUUAAAAUACUAGUGGCAGACGGGUGAGUAAUACAUAGGUGAUCUUCCUUUGAGAGGGAAAUAACCCCGAGAAAUCGGGGCUAAUGUCCCAUAAGACCACGAUUCUUCUCACGAAGAAAUGAGGUCAAAGCUCCGCAAGGGGCGCUUGAAGACGAGCCUGUGGCCUAUCAGCUAGUUGGUGAGGUAAAAGCUCACCAAGGCUAAGACGGGUAUCCGGCCUGAAAGGGCGAUCGGACACACUGGAACUGAGACACGGUCCAGACUCCUACGGGAGGCAGCAGUGGGGAAUUUUGGACAAUGGGGGCAACCCUGAUCCAGCAACGCCGCGUGAGGGAUGAAGGUCUUCGGAUUGUAAACCUCUUUUGUGAGGGAAGAAUUUGCGCGUGAAGAACGCGUAGUGACGGUACCUCGCGAAUAG
This 502-nucleotide ribosomal RNA is filed under the name uncultured Wolinella sp. RNAcentral describes it as "bacterial SSU rRNA". It matches the Rfam family "Bacterial small subunit ribosomal RNA", at positions 8 to 489 of the family's 1533-position model. The record is from RNAcentral. Lineage: Bacteria; Pseudomonadati; Campylobacterota; Epsilonproteobacteria; Campylobacterales; Helicobacteraceae.